GACGAACGCUGGCGGCGUGCUUAACACAUGCAAGUCGUACGGUAAGGCCCUUUCGGGGGUCCACGAGUGGCGAACGGGUGAGUAACACGUGAGUAACCUGCCCACAACUUUGGGAUAACGCUAGGAAACUGGUGCUAAUACUGGAUAUGUGCUCCUGCUGCAUGGUGGGGGUUGGAAAGCUCCGGCGGUUGUGGAUGGACUCGCGGCCUAUCAGCUUGUUGGUGGGGUAGUGGCCUACCAAGGCGGCGACGGGUAGCCGGCCUGAGAGGGUGACCGGCCACAUUGGGACUGAGAUACGGCCCAGACUCCUACGGGAGGCAGCAGUGGGGAAUAUUGCACAAUGGGCGCAAGCCUGAUGCAGCAACGCCGCGUGCGGAUGACGGCCUUCGGGUUGUAAACCGCUUUCAGCAGGGACGAAGCUUUUUGUGACGGUACCUGCAGAAGAAGCACCGGCUAACUACGUG
This 464-nucleotide ribosomal RNA is filed under the name uncultured bacterium. RNAcentral describes it as "partial 16S ribosomal RNA". It matches the Rfam family "Bacterial small subunit ribosomal RNA", at positions 28 to 507 of the family's 1533-position model. The record is from RNAcentral.